Molecule: ribosomal RNA, 722 nt
Filed under: Vibrio sp. j21437
Lineage: Bacteria; Pseudomonadati; Pseudomonadota; Gammaproteobacteria; Vibrionales; Vibrionaceae
Description: bacterial SSU rRNA
Rfam family: Bacterial small subunit ribosomal RNA
Source: RNAcentral
ACCUUGGGGGGCGGCUACACAUGCAAGUCGAGCGGAACGAGUUGUCUGAACCUUCGGGGAACGAUAACGGCGUCGAGCGGCGGACGGGUGAGUAAUGCCUGGGAAAUUGCCCUGAUGUGGGGGAUAACCAUUGGAAACGAUGGCUAAUACCGCAUAAUAGCUUCGGCUCAAAGAGGGGGACCUUCGGGCCUCUCGCGUCAGGAUAUGCCCAGGUGGGAUUAGCUAGUUGGUGAGGUAAUGGCUCACCAAGGCGACGAUCCCUAGCUGGUCUGAGAGGAUGAUCAGCCACACUGGAACUGAGACACGGUCCAGACUACUACGGGAGGCAGCAGUGGGGAAUAUUGCACAAUGGGCGCAAGCCUGAUGCAGCCAUGCCGCGUGUAUGAAGAAGGCCUUCGGGUUGUAAAGUACUUUCAGCAGUGAGGAAGGUGGAAGUGUUAAUAGCACUAUCAUUUGACGUUAGCUGCAGAAGAAGCACCGGCUAACUCCGUGCCAGCAGCCGCGGUAAUACGGAGGGUGCGAGCGUUAAUCGGAAUUACUGGGCGUAAAGCGCAUGCAGGUGGUUUGUUAAGUCAGAUGUGAAAGCCCGGGGCUCAACCUCGGAAUUGCAUUUGAAACUGGCAGACUAGAGUACUGUAGAGGGGGGUAGAAUUUCAGGUGUAGCGGUGAAAUGCGUAAUAGAUCUGAAGGAAAAUUGGAGGCUAAAGCGGCCCCCUGGUACU